GAUGAACGCUGGCGGCGUGCUUAACACAUGCAAGUCGUACGAGAAAUCCCGGGCAACUGGGAGAGUAAAGUGGCGCACGGGUGAGUAACGCGUGGGUAAUCUACCUUGGAGUUCGGAAUAACACUUCGAAAGGGGUGCUAAUACCGGAUAUCGUCCCAGGAGUUUCGGCUUCGGGGAUGAAAGAUGGCUGAGGCUUGCAAGCUAUUGCUCCAAGAUGAGCCCGCGUACCAUUAGCUUGUUGGUGGGGUAACGGCUCACCAAGGCAAUGAUGGUUAGCUGGUCUGAGAGGAUGGCCAGCCACACUGGAACUGAGACACGGUCCAGACUCCUACGGGAGGCAG
Molecule: ribosomal RNA, 341 nt
Filed under: uncultured Chloroflexota bacterium
Lineage: Bacteria; Bacillati; Chloroflexota
Description: bacterial SSU rRNA
Rfam family: Bacterial small subunit ribosomal RNA
Source: RNAcentral